Molecule: ribosomal RNA, 253 nt
Filed under: uncultured bacterium
Lineage: Bacteria
Description: partial 16S ribosomal RNA
Rfam family: Bacterial small subunit ribosomal RNA
Source: RNAcentral
UACGUAGGGUGCAAGCGUUGUCCGGAAUUAUUGGGCGUAAAGAGCUCGUAGGCGGUUCGUCGCGUCGGCUGUGAAAACCCGGAGCUCAACUCCGGGCCUGCAGUCGAUACGGGCGGACUUGAGUACUGCAGGGGAGACUGGAAUUCCUGGUGUAGCGGUGAAAUGCGCAGAUAUCAGGAGGAACACCGGUGGCGAAGGCAGUGUCCUGGGGAGUACCUGACGCUCAGGUGCGAAAGCCAGGGGAGCGAACGGG